CCCAUAACCCUUAAAAUAAAUCCCAACCUUCUACUUAAUGGUAUGAACAUUGUGGUACAAUAUCAGAGCAAUUGAAAUACUUAUACACAACUUAUUGUCCUGAAACUAGAUAAAUACUUGUUCUGGGCCCCUUUGGGCCUGUUAUUUUUUAACCGAUGGGACCAUAACCCCCGAAACCAAUCCCAACCUUUCUUUUGUGGUUAUCAACAUUGUGUUAAAAUUUAAUUGAUUUCUAAUUACUUAUACCAAAGUUAUUAUCUGGAAACCAUUCAUCUUCGGACGACACUGACUACGAGGACGCUGCCGCUGCCAAUGACAAGAUACCAAAAUACGACCAAAUUUUUUUUAAUAUUUGCGGUCGUAUUAAAAUGGUAUUGUUUCAAACUAAAAUGUUUUCAAAUAUUCCAAUGACCAUUAAAAAAGAUAUUGCAGACUUAUGAUUGAAGAUUUAGUCUUGGUUAUAUUAUUUUUUAAAACACAUCGUUACAUAUUACAGAUGUAUUGAAAAGUAAAAUAUCCCUGUGUUUCUACCCUUGUGCACCUCUUAUUUGUUAACUAAUUUGUUCAUGAACAUGUUAGCAGAAACAAAUAAGUCAUAUACAUCCUUCUGAAUAUCUGACUAGCAGUCAGCAAUUUUGUGUUGACAUGAGUUUCAUUGAAAUGUUCAUUUUCUGUAAAUUUAUACUUUGGUUCUUCUACCCAAAGGCAGAUAUUGUCUGAAUUGUAUUUGGCACAAUUUAAGGAGUUUUCGGUAAUUAAAGCUCUACAACUGUGUAUUUGACUAGGCCAAUCUAAUUAAAAUAUAGUUCUCUGAUUUCAUUAUACUCAUACUUAUAUGUGUGAGCACCUGAGUUAAUAUAUGUC
RNAcentral lists this long non-coding RNA (864 nucleotides) under Mytilus galloprovincialis (Mediterranean mussel). The record is from RNAcentral. Lineage: Eukaryota; Metazoa; Mollusca; Bivalvia; Mytilida; Mytilidae.